GCGGGCGGGCAGGGGAGGGAAGGCCACACGCGGGCGGGCCGCCGGCCCCUCGCCUCUUCCGCCCUGCCGCCGCCACACGGGCCGGCCCCGCGGAGAUGGCGGCCAGGCGGGGCACCGACGAGAUGCGGGAGCGCGUGGUGCUGGGCGAGUUCGGCGUCCGCAACGUGCACACCACCGACUUCCCCGGCAACUACCCCGGCUACGACGACGCCUGGGACCAGCAGCGCUUCGAGGAGGAGUUCCGCGUGGACGUGGUGGGCGAGGAGGACGGCGUGCUGGAGUUUGACAUGGUGGGCAUCGACGCGGCCAUCGCCAACGCCUUCCGCCGCAUCCUGCUCGCCGAGGUACCAACGAUGGCUGUGGAGAAAGUCUUUGUGUACAACAACACAUCCAUUGUACAGGACGAGAUUCUGGCUCAUCGCUUGGGCCUUAUCCCUAUCCGAGCUGACCCUCGACUCUUUGAAUACAGAAAUCAAGGAGAUGAAGAAGGGACAGAAAUCGAUACACUGCAGUUCCAGCUGAAAAUAAAAUGCAGCCGAAAUCCUCAGGCAGCCAAGGAAUCAUCUGACCCUAAUGAGCUGUAUUUCAAUCACAAAGUGUACAGUAAGCACAUGACAUGGGUGCCCUUGGGGAAUCAGACAGACCUCUUUCCAGAUGCUGACUUCCGACCUGUUCACGACGACAUCCUCAUUGCACUGUUGCGACCUGGCCAGGAAAUAGACGUGCUUAUGCACUGUGUCAAGGGUAUAGGUAAAGAUCAUGCCAAGUUUUCUCCUGUGGCCACGGCUAGCUAUCGACUGCUUCCUGACAUUACUCUCCUGCAGCCUGUUGAGGAUGAGGCAGCUGAGACGUUGCAGAAGUGCUUUUCCCCUGGAGUCAUUGAGAUCCAGAACAUCAAGGGAAAAAAGGUGGCAAGGGUAGCCAAUGCUCGGUUGGACACGUUCAGCAGGGAGGUUUUCCGACAUGAGGGUCUGAAAAACCUUGUGCGCCUGGCAAGAGUGCGAAAUCAUUACAUCUGUCUGGCUUGCCAGAAGCGCAGCGCAAAGGAAGAUGAGGGACAGAAAUGCUGGAGCCAGGUGUGGGCUGAAGCUGCGUGGCGGUGUGCUGACUCGUGUCUCUGUGCAGUUUCAGUGGAGUCUACGGGUAUCUUGCCUCCAGACGUGCUGGUGAGCGAAGCCAUCAAGAUACUGAUGGGCAAGUGUCAGCGCUUCCUGAACGAGCUGGACUCUGUGCCUAUGGAGUGACCAGGGGGCAGCUGAGAAGCUUCGUGCACCUGCCUGCAGGAGUUGGUUCCUCUUCCGUAGGCAAGAGCUGUCUGCUUCUGUGCUGUUAACAAUUGUGAGGCUGUAAUACGCGGAGAAGAACGUGGCAGCAGGUCUGAAGCCGAGUAAUAGCAUUUAUUUCAGGUUGCAAGCAGUGCGUGAAGAGGACUGAUACGGCAGCGUAGUAGAGCACUUGGCAGCAGGUCAGUGAGAUCGUGACAGGUCGCCGUCAGUUGGGGACUGUUCUGGAGGUGUCAAGCUCUGUGGUCGCUUACAGGCUGUGUUGUCAUGUAGUGCUGGGCUUCUCUGUAUGGCGGGGAACGUGGAGUUGAAAACAUGCUCUGGAAAAACUGUCUGUCCCCUGUAAGUAUCUCAAGCUACGGCAUUUCUCUCCUCUGUUAGUUUUGACUACUCUGUUCUCAGUGACUGAGUGUGAUUUGGGCUCACCUUGAAGCAGAACUGAGUUUCCUGGGGCACGGUGGAGGGCAAGUGACAGUUCACAUGCCCGUCUCCACCGAGGGAAGCCUGGGAUAACGUGCAGGUUAGCAACGUGGUGAGCACUGCUGGCGGCACCGGGGAGUUCUUGGCUCGUGAAAGUCUCUCUGGACAUGCUGAUAAAAGAACAGGGACACCAGAGUGGGCUGGGAGUGAGGGUGUGUUCCAGCUGCCUAAGUUAAUUGGCUCGAGUGCAGGAAAUCGUGCUUUCUCUGUACUGGUGUCAGUGGGAUGUGGUUACGCGCACUGUGUCCAUACAUCGUGACAGAUGGGGGGGCUGCCCCGUAGGGAGUGUGCGUGUUCAGGGCAAAGCCGGUGCUGGUCUGGAAGCAGGGCAGGAACAGUGGGUCACCCCUGGUGUCACCUCCCUGUCCCAGUGCUGCAGGCCCAUGCUUUGCCUCCAGGGUGUUCAAGCCAGCUGGUAGUGGCUUGUUGGGAAGGUGGCUGCAUCCCUGUAAAGGCUGGUCUGGGGGGGGCGCAGUCAGUGUUCCAUCAGGGUGCUUGCUGGCUCUUGCACCUUUGUGCUUUCAGCAGUUUUGCCGGCAUCUGGGCAGGCAGAUUUGGAGCCCCAAGAGCCAGGCCUAGGUCAGUUCUGUAGUCUGCACCUUCUCGUGUAGCGCUCCUUACAGCCAUAGCCGAGCGACCUUCCCCGUGCUUCUUGCUCGUUUAAAACUCAGUUCAGUGAUGCAGACCUGUCCCUUGCGUAUGAGCUAUACAAGGUAGAAGUGAGGGCGGGUGUAAGCAUUUCAAAGUUCCCUUCCCUCAGCUGGGGCUAGGCAAAUGGCCUAUCACUGCCAUUUAGGUGUUAGUCUCUUUUCAAAAAUAGUAAUUUUGAGCUGGGUCUUUUCAAUUUAAACAAGCUGAAACAGUGUCCCUGCUGAGCAGGGUCACAGCUGGGGCCUUGGGAAAAGAUUUUGUAACAAAAACUUAGUGAAGGGUCUCAGGGGAGAGGCUAUGGCGUUCCGCUAUGGCAACACCCACCCUUUCAGCUCUGCCUGACAAUGAAUGUGUUAGUGCAAAUCUUCCCUUGCUUUCCAAUGUAAUUAGCUAGUCUGGAAUGGUGCAUCCCUUCCCUGAUGAGGUACGCUAUCAUCACCUGUGCUUCUUUUUUUGGCAGCUGGAAUAAGGAGUGCUAAAUACAAAUGAAAUCAUGACACCAUGGGUAUGAAACUGGAAUAGCUUUACUGACAUUCAGAGGUGUAACACAACCAGUUCAGAGACAGCUUCAGAUUUCAACAUUCCUACAAAAAAAGGUUCUAAAAACCAUUUUAAAAAAAAAAACCCUUGUG
This is an RNA transcript of Cygnus olor (mute swan), 3046 nucleotides long. It is a transcript of the gene named RNA polymerase I and III subunit C, with no coding region annotated. The record is from RefSeq and is a predicted model, not a curated record. Lineage: Eukaryota; Metazoa; Chordata; Aves; Anseriformes; Anatidae. The transcript has 10 exons.